UCCCUGGAAGUAACUUCAGCCUUGACCUCCUCCUCAUCCUCUUCAUUUUUGUGUUUCUUCUUUUUGUCCUCCUUGUCUUUCUUCUUCUUUCCUUCUUUUUUGUCAUCUUUUUGCUCAUCGCUCUUCUUCUCUUUUUCAUCAUCACCGUAUUUGUGUUUCUUCUUUUUAUCAUCCUUGUCUUUCUUCUUCUCCCCUUCUUUUUUAUUGCCGUCACCUUUUACUUCAUCACUCUUCUCCUUUUCGCCAUCACCACCCUUGUGUUUCUUCUUUUUAUCGUCUUUCUUCUUCUCCCCUUCUUUUUUAUCAUCGUCACCUUUUACCUCAUCACUCUUCUUCUCUGUUUCAUCAUCACCGCCCUUGUGUUUCUUCUUUUUAUCGUCCUUUCCUUCAUCCUUACGCGUCUCCUCUGCUUCACCCUUUGAUUCCUUUACAUUAUCUUCAAUGUCAAUCUCCCUGGAAGUAACUUCAGCCUUGACCUCCUCCUCAUCCUCUUCAUUUUUGUGUUUCUUCUUUUUGUCCUCCUUGUCUUUCUUCUUCUUUCCUUCUUUUUUGUCAUCUUUUUGUUCAUCGCUCUUCUUCUCUUUUUCAUCACCACCAUCCUUGUGUUUCUUCUUUUUAUCAUCCUUCUCCUUCUUCUCCCCUUCUUUUUUAUCGUAGUCACCUUUUA
RNAcentral lists this long non-coding RNA (667 nucleotides) under Malus domestica (apple). RNAcentral describes it as "long non-coding RNA (MDOM_LNC013613)". Lineage: Eukaryota; Viridiplantae; Streptophyta; Magnoliopsida; Rosales; Rosaceae. The record is from RNAcentral.